Molecule: ribosomal RNA, 508 nt
Rfam family: Bacterial large subunit ribosomal RNA
AUGGCUCUUUGACCUUACAUACAUAAAGAGUCUGACCUGCCCGGUGGUAAGAUACUAAACGGCUGCAGUACCCUGACUGUGCAAAGGUAGCAUAAUAAUUUGCCUUUUAAUUGGAGGCUAGUAUGAAAGGUUUGACGAAAGUAAAUCUGUCUCUUUUUAUGUUGAUUAGAAAUUAUCUUUUAAGUUAAAAAGCUUAAAUUUUAUUAGAGGACGAGAAGACCCUAUCGAGCUUAUAAAUAUUAUUUUAAAUGGCAAUUAUUGUUUAAAUAUGAGUUUAAUAGGUUAUUUUUAGUUGGGGCAACUGCGGUGUAUUAAAAGCCUCCGUUAUAGUUAUAAUUUGUGAAUGAUCCGACAUUGUCGAAUAAUGACUUAGUUACCGUAGGGAUAACAGCGUAAUUUUUUUGGAGAGAUCUUAUCGAUAAAAAAGAUUGCGACCUCGAUGUUGGAUUAAACAUACUUUAAAGGUGCAGGGGCUUUAUAAGUUAGUCUGUUCGACUAUUAAAUUUUU